GAUGAAGAACGUAGCGAAAUGCGAUAAGUAAUGUGAAUUGCAGAAUUCAGUGAAUCAUCGAAUCUUUGAACGCACAUUGCGCCCGCUAGUAUUCUGGCGGGCAUGCCUGUUCGAGCGUCAUUUCAACCAUCAAGCCCUGUUUAGGCUUGUGUUGGGGCCCUGCGGUUGCCGCAGCCCCCUAAAUGCAGUGGCGGGCUCGUUGUCACUCCGAGCGCAGUAGCGUAUCUCGCUCUGGGCGUGGCGGCGGGUGCUAGCCGUGAAACACCCACUAAGGUUAACCUCGGAUCAGGUAGGAAUACCCGCUGAACUUAAGCAUAUCAAUAAGCGGAGGA
RNAcentral lists this unclassified non-coding RNA (332 nucleotides) under soil metagenome. RNAcentral describes it as "partial contains 5.8S ribosomal RNA, internal transcribed spacer 2, and large subunit ribosomal RNA". The stretch from base 1 to 120 matches the Rfam family "5.8S ribosomal RNA", at positions 35 to 154 of the family's 154-position model. The record is from RNAcentral.